RNAcentral lists this ribosomal RNA (492 nucleotides) under uncultured bacterium. Its description in RNAcentral is "partial 16S ribosomal RNA". It matches the Rfam family "Bacterial small subunit ribosomal RNA", at positions 29 to 507 of the family's 1533-position model. The record is from RNAcentral.
AGUGAACGCUGGCGGUAGGCCUAACACAUGCAAGUCGAACGGCAGCACAGUAAGAGCUUGCUCUUACGGGUGGCGAGUGGCGGACGGGUGAGGAAUACAUCGGAAUCUACUUUUUCGUGGGGGAUAACGUAGGGAAACUUACGCUAAUACCGCAUACGACCUACGGGUGAAAGCAGUGGAUCUUCUGACCUUGCGCGAUUGAAUGAGCCGAUGUCGGAUUAGCUAGUUGGCGGGGUAAAGGCCCACCAAAGCGACGAUCCGUAGCUGGUCUGAGAGGAUGAUCAGCCACACUGGAACUGAGACACGGUCCAGACUCCUACGGGAGGCAGCAGUGGGGAAUAUUGGACAAUGGGCGCAAGCCUGAUCCAGCCAUACCGCGUGGGUGAAGAAGGCCUUCGGGUUGUAAAGCCCUUUUGUUGGGAAAGAAAAGCAGCAGGUUAAUACCCCGCUGUUCUGACGGUACCAAAAGAAUAAGCACCGGCUAACUUCGUG